This 97-nucleotide signal recognition particle RNA is filed under the name Gammaproteobacteria bacterium. RNAcentral describes it as "signal recognition particle sRNA small type". It matches the Rfam family "Bacterial small signal recognition particle RNA". Rfam says of the family: The signal recognition particle (SRP) is a universally conserved ribonucleoprotein involved in the co-translational targeting of proteins to membranes. Archaeal SRP consists of a 7S RNA and homologues of the eukaryotic SRP19 and SRP54 proteins. In most bacteria, the SRP consists of a 4.5S RNA and the Ffh protein (a homologue of the eukaryotic SRP54 protein). The record is from RNAcentral. Lineage: Bacteria; Pseudomonadati; Pseudomonadota; Gammaproteobacteria.
UACCGGUCCCCCCGCGACGUGAAAUCGUGAACUCCGUCAGGCCCGGAAGGGAGCAGCGGUAACGAUGGAUACGGGUGCCGGGGUGUGGCUGGUACCG